AGUGAACGCUGGCGGUAGGCCUAACACAUGCAAGUCGAACGGCAGCACAGUAAGAGCUUGCUCUUACGGGUGGCGAGUGGCGGACGGGUGAGGAAUACAUCGGAAUCUACUUUUUCGCGGGGGAUAACGUAGGGAAACUUACGCUAAUACCGCAUACGACCUACGGGUGAAAGCAGGGGAUCUUCGGACCUUGCGCGAGUGAAUGAGCCGAUGUCGGAUUAGCUAGUUGGCGGGGUAAAGGCCCACCAAGGCGACGAUCCGUAGCUGGUCUGAGAGGAUGAUCAGCCACACUGGAACUGAGACACGGUCCAGACUCCUACGGGAGGCAGCAGUGGGGAAUAUUGGACAAUGGGCGCAAGCCUGAUCCAGCCAUACCGCGUGGGUGAAGAAGGCCUUCGGGUUGUAAAGCCCUUUUGUUGGGAAAGAAAAGCAGCAGGUUAAUACCCCGCUGUUCUGACGGUACCCAAAGAAUAAGCACCGGCUAACUUCGUG
This 492-nucleotide ribosomal RNA is filed under the name uncultured bacterium. Its description in RNAcentral is "partial 16S ribosomal RNA". It matches the Rfam family "Bacterial small subunit ribosomal RNA", at positions 29 to 507 of the family's 1533-position model. The record is from RNAcentral.